Ceratotherium simum simum (southern white rhinoceros) is the source of this 118-nucleotide non-coding RNA. The record is from RefSeq and is a predicted model, not a curated record. NCBI's taxonomy places the organism in Eukaryota, Metazoa, Chordata, Mammalia, Perissodactyla, Rhinocerotidae.
AUUAUUAUUUUACUAGUUGAAGUGUAGAAACCUUGCCUCCCUUUACAUCUCUUAACCCUCUCUCAUUUAUAAUAUAAUUGUCUUAAAUAUUUUCUUUACAUAUAUUUAGAAUCACAUC